Long non-coding RNA from Peromyscus maniculatus bairdii (prairie deer mouse), 2077 nucleotides. RefSeq lists it as uncharacterized. Lineage: Eukaryota; Metazoa; Chordata; Mammalia; Rodentia; Cricetidae. The record is from RefSeq and is a predicted model, not a curated record.
UGCUGGCUUGGAGGCUGAGACCAAUUCAUUCAGGCUGCUGCUAAAGAUGACACUGUUCUCAUUCACAGCCGAGCUCUCCGGAGGACGGAGGAGAGAAAGAUGCCGAGAGGCUGGAGACUGAGGAGGGGGUGGCCGAGCUUCGGCACUGGUGUUUGUUCCAAAGGGGAAAUUACAGGAAGAAAAAUAAACAGGGCCAGCCAGAUUUGAAGGCCAGUUCGCGCAGCAUCGGGGCGCUUAGAGGGACAGGGUGUGUGUGUGCGCGCGUGUGUUAGCGUGUGUACAUGCCUGUGGGCGCCACUGGGUUUGCCUUCUCAAAAUAAGGGCUGCUCAGUGGAAAGAUGUCAUAAGCCAGGCUGGGGCGGCCAGGGGAUGGGCCAGCCAGGGAGGGCCGAGGCUGGCGCCCAGGCCUGCUCAUGAGGUCAGGCAAAGGCCAGGUGUCAGAGUAAGGGAAUACUGCCAAGGCCUGCUAGCCAAGGGCAUGUCGGGACAGGAUUCUGAAGAACAAGGGAGAAAAGCCAGAGUCUCUGGAGGAGGGACACCGUGACAGGACCACCUGGGGUGUGUCGUCAGCCUGCCUCCCUGCCAUUCCUUCAGCCUGUGGAUUGGCUUCAUCUGACAGGCUCCUAAGGAGGAGCUGAACUUCAGAUGCCCAGCCUGCAAGCUUCUCUUUGUCCAGGUCUCAGAAGGACAAGCUGACUCUCUAAAUGUCCUCCAAAAAUCUCUUUUUAAAAAUGUGUUGUAUAUGUGUGUAUGUGUGCGUGUGAGCACAUGGAAGGCAGAAGCCAAUGCUGGCCUCUUCCUUGGUCUCGUUCACCCCAGUUUUGGAGUCAGCUGUCCCACUGAAAUGGGAGCUCACUGAUGCAGCUAGGCUGACCGGCCGGCAAGUCCCAGGGAUCUGCGUGUCUCUGCCUCCCCCCAGUGAUCCACCAUAGCUAUCCUUUUGUUACUGGUGGGUUUCUCCCCGUCGUGGGGUCUAAGGAUUUGAACUCAGGUCUUCACGUUUGUGCAGCGACCACUUUACCAGCUGAUCCACCGGCCCAGCUCCUGAAUGUCUCUGCAUUAGCAUUUUGAACUCAAGGGUUUUCAGUGCGCGGAUGGUCCCAUUUAUCGGGGAUGACCGCCUUCAGGUCCUCUGUCAUGGUCCUGCUGGGGUGUGAUCGUGAUCUCUUUCUUGCUUUCUAGUACAAGAUGUUCUGGGCUUAUCUUACUCACUGACCUGGAAACAGGCACUUCUCCAGGAAGUGUUGCUCCUUCCUGUGGGAGAGAAUACUUAAGAGACCGCAGUUAGGGCAGUCCAUGUUCUCAGAGACCGUAUGUGUUCUCGGCUUCUCAGUUUUCUCCAAGAAGAAUUUGCAUUCAGGGCAGGACCACCCAAAGGAUGUGGCGUUAUGCAACUAAGUGUGGCUCUCCCAGAUCUGAGGCUGUCAGUCCUGAGAAGUAAGCUUUGUCUGGCGGAGGCCACCUCUCCCCCUCCCAGAGACUAACCCUGGGCCCAGGGUUGGCCGCCAUGGGUGACUUCUUUUGGAUAAGUACUGAAAUGUGAGGGGCUCCGUCACUAAAAUUACACUUCUAAGCCAAAGUUCUUCCAACAGCAUGAUGAAAGUUAUUGCAACAGCAAGAUGAAAGUAUUUUUUAAUAUUACAUUUUUUAUUUUAAAAUAUUGAUUGUAUUAAUUUAUGUGUACGAGUGUCUUAUGCGCACGUAUAUAUGACAUCUCACUGGCCCAAGGUGUUUUAAAUGAAGUGUGCCAGGCAAACGUCUAAGCACACACAUUGGCAAACAGAAAGCCCUAGGAAAUGGUACAGAUCCAAACUGUUGCCUGUCUGGAGACUCCUUGUGUGCCCAUGGAGUUUCCGGAAGUUCUCCUCGAUAUCCUGUCUGUGUGAUGAUGAUAGCCUUGAUAUCCACUUUGCUAUAAAACAGAGUCAGGGUGAUAUGUGGUAAUAAUGCCUGCAAUUCCAGUGUGGCUCAGGCUGGAGGGCUGUGAGUUCCAGGCCAGCCUAGGCGACAUAAAACGUAAAAGAAAGAAGAGGAGGACCAGGUGGAGAUGAAGAUGAGGAAGACAACACAGUGAAGA